UACAGAGGGUGCGAGCGUUGUCCGGAAUCACUGGGCGUAAAGGGCGCGUAGGUGGUGGCUUAAGCGUGCGGUGAAAGCUCGGGGCUCAACUCCGAGUCGGCCGUGCGAACUGGGCUCACUGGAGCAUAGUAGAGGCAGGUGGAAUUCCGGGUGUAGCGGUGGAAUGCGUAGAGAUGUGGAGGAACACCGAUGGCGAAGGCAGCCCCCCUGGGUCAAGAUUGACGCUCAUGCACGAAAGCGUGGGGGAGCAAACAGG
RNAcentral lists this ribosomal RNA (256 nucleotides) under uncultured bacterium. RNAcentral's name for it is "partial 16S ribosomal RNA". It matches the Rfam family "Bacterial small subunit ribosomal RNA", at positions 524 to 776 of the family's 1533-position model. The record is from RNAcentral.